GCUUUCCUCUCGGUGAGUUUCAUAGUGUUUGCUUGUGUCAAUCUGUUUGCUAACGUGGAGAGGAAACCAACGCCAGGAGGCGCACAAGUGUGUUAACACAAUCCGAACUGCCGUGUUUCCCGACGAGCUGAUUUCGCAAUGCCAGAAACAAUUCCAGCCAGCUGCAAAUCUGCAGACUGCCAAGACCAAAACACAGAAUAAAAUUCAAACUUCAAGCUGCCAAGGGGAUGAAGAUUGUAUUAUGCAUUGCGUUUUUCAAAAAUCUGGAAUGCUUGAUUCAAAAGGCAACGUAGUUUUGAAAGACAUUUUGAAAAAGUACAUUGCAAAAGGGAAAACAGGUGACUUUGAAGCAAAAUCUUCCAUUCUGAAUGUGGUAAACGAAUGUUUUGACCAAACUCAAG
This is a long non-coding RNA of Neocloeon triangulifer, 401 nucleotides long. RefSeq lists it as uncharacterized. Lineage: Eukaryota; Metazoa; Arthropoda; Insecta; Ephemeroptera; Baetidae. The transcript is spliced from 4 exons. The record is from RefSeq and is a predicted model, not a curated record.